This 70-nucleotide transfer RNA is filed under the name Marmota monax (woodchuck). RNAcentral's name for it is "tRNA.Asp". The stretch from base 5 to 65 matches the Rfam family "tRNA", at positions 6 to 65 of the family's 71-position model. Rfam says of the family: Transfer RNA (tRNA) molecules are approximately 80 nucleotides in length. Their secondary structure includes four short double-helical elements and three loops (D, anti-codon, and T loops). Further hydrogen bonds mediate the characteristic L-shaped molecular structure. tRNAs have two regions of fundamental functional importance: the anti-codon, which is responsible for specific mRNA codon recognition, and the 3' end, to which the tRNAs corresponding amino acid is attached (by aminoacyl-tRNA synthetases). tRNAs cope with the degeneracy of the genetic code in two manners: having more than one tRNA (with a specific anti-codon) for a particular amino acid; and 'wobble' base-pairing, i.e. permitting non-standard base-pairing at the 3rd anti-codon position. Lineage: Eukaryota; Metazoa; Chordata; Mammalia; Rodentia; Sciuridae. The record is from RNAcentral.
GAGCUGGAGCUUAGUGGUAGAGUGCUUGUCUAUCAUGCAUGAGGCCCUGGGUUGUAUCCCCAGCACUACA